This 872-nucleotide long non-coding RNA is filed under the name Solanum lycopersicum (tomato). RNAcentral describes it as "partial TCONS_00075099". The record is from RNAcentral. Lineage: Eukaryota; Viridiplantae; Streptophyta; Magnoliopsida; Solanales; Solanaceae.
CGAUAUUUUCACAGCGUCAAAACGAACCAACAAAAACAGCGCGUGAACGACUCCAAAACCACCUUAUACGCGCCUCACCUCUCCUCAUGCGAGAACAAGUAGUAGCAACGGUCACAAGAAAUACACGACAGAUUAUACGAUGUCAAAUUUUAUACUCGCUUUCUCCUUUUUGCUUUGCCAGAAGUCAUACAGCAGCGGUCAGUCGACUUGUUCAGUCUGCAGUUCACGUAUUCGUCCUUGGGGGCUGGGAGAUUGACCCACGUCGCGCCCUAAAGACGAUGGAAUUGAUUCCAGCCGUUCAACCCCCUCCCCCCCCUUUCCUCUUUUGAAGCGGGUUGAAUUCUCAAAGAAAAGGUGUUCAUCCUAAAAUGGUGAAAGAUUUUAAAAUUCGAAAUUGAAAUGGAUCUUUUCUCAUCUAAUUUCAUUCACUUUCCCCAAAAAUCAACUCUAGAUUUUCCCUCUCUAUAUAAGCGCCUGUUUUGCUCCAUUAGAGGGGUUGGAGAUUUUUGAUUGAAAAAAAAGGGGUGUUGAAGAAUUUUGUGUUGGUGAAAAUACAGGAAGUUAGCUAAGUGAUGAAAGAAAAAGAUAUAUUUAAGCCAAAGGUUUCCUAGAAAAUUUUCCGAUUCGGUCUUUCUGUCAUCUGUUUUGCUUUGUUGGUUCAAGUUUUUUUGGAGUCGUUCUUCGGUGUAGUAGUUGCUGUCCAUCUCUUCGCUCCAACCCAGUUCGCUGCCCACAAAAAGUUGGUUGCAUAUAAUAAGAGUUUGACAUAUGGAUUAAAACAUGAUGGCGGAUCUCUUUGCAAAGGAAGAUGGUAGAAAGAAAAAAAAUGAAGCAUAAUUUGAGAUUAUUUUUUCACUUUGAAUUGUAUUAGC